RNAcentral lists this ribosomal RNA (407 nucleotides) under uncultured bacterium. RNAcentral describes it as "bacterial SSU rRNA". It matches the Rfam family "Bacterial small subunit ribosomal RNA", at positions 553 to 957 of the family's 1533-position model. The record is from RNAcentral.
ACUGGGCGUAAAGCGUGCGCAGGCGGUGAUGUAAGACAGAUGUGAAAUCCCCGGGCUCAACCUGGGAACUGCGUUUGUGACUGCAUCACUCGAGUACGGCAGAGGGAGGUGGAAUUCCACGUGUAGCAGUGAAAUGCGUAGAGAUGUGGAGGAACACCGAUGGCGAAGGCAGCCUCCUGGGCCAGUACUGACGCUCAUGCACGAAAGCGUGGGGAGCAAAACAGGAUUAGAUACCCUGGUAGUCCACGCCCUAAACGAUGUCAACUAGUUGUUCGGUGAGGAGACUCAUUGAGUAACGCAGCUAACGCGUGAAGUUGACCGCCUGGGGAGUACGGCCGCAAGGUUAAAACUCAAAGGAAUUGACGGGGACCCGCACAAGCGGUGGAUGAUGUGGAUUAAUUCGAUGC